RNAcentral lists this ribosomal RNA (468 nucleotides) under uncultured bacterium. RNAcentral's name for it is "partial 16S ribosomal RNA". It matches the Rfam family "Bacterial small subunit ribosomal RNA", at positions 28 to 507 of the family's 1533-position model. The record is from RNAcentral.
GACGAACGCUGGCGGCGUGCUUAACACAUGCAAGUCGAACGGAAAGGCCCUGCUUUUGUGGGGUGCUCGAGUGGCGAACGGGUGAGUAACACGUGAGUAACCUGCCCUUGACUUUGGGAUAACUUCAGGAAACUGGGGCUAAUACCGGAUAGGAGCUCCUGCUGCAUGGUGGGGGUUGGAAAGUUUCGGCGGUUGGGGAUGGACUCGCGGCUUAUCCGCUUGUUGGUGGGGUAGUGGCUUACCAAGGCUUUGACGGGUAGCCGGCCUGAGAGGGUGACCGGCCACAUUGGGACUGAGGUACGGCCCAGACUCCUACGGGAGGCAGCAGUGGGGAAUAUUGCACAAUGGGCGGAAGCCUGAUGCAGCAACGCCGCGUGCGGGAUGACGGCCUUCGGGUUGUAAACCGCUUUCGCAUGUGACGAAGCGUGAGUGACGGUAAUGGGUAAAGAAGCACCGGCUAACUACGUG